GUGUGAAAGGUCGGAGGGCGGUGGCAGCGUUGCGGGUUCGAGAAGAUUCUGCGUUUGCCAGUGAGGGAAGGGGGGAAAAGGAGCACUAACAUGUCAGAGAUUGUCCGGAGUUGUGUCCGAGACACUGAGUGACAGCGCAUCUGUUGAGACACCAUGUUCGGGUGCCUGGUUGCGGGUCGAUUGGUGCAGACAGAUGCACAACAAGUUGCAGAGGGGAAAUUUGUCUUUAAUCUUCCUGAUUAUGAGAGCGUCAAUCACGUUGUGAUCUUUAUGCUGGGGACAACACCAUUUCCUGUAGGAGCAGGAGGAUCUGUCUAUUUUUCUUACCCAGACAAGUGUGGGAUGCCGGUGUGGCAGUUACUAGGAUUCAUAACUAAUGAAAAACCCAGUGCAAUAUUCAAAAUAUCACGUUUAAAGACACAAGAAGGGAGCCAGCACCCUUUUGGGACAAUGAAUAUUGCCCAGACGCAGUCAAUUGCCCAAAUUGGCAUCUCUGUGGAGCCCAUGGAACUGUUAACGCAGCAGACUCCAGAAGCAAGUGCAUCUGUAUCGACAGUUGAUUCAUUUACACAGUUUACGCAGAAGAUGCUAGACAACUUCUAUAAUUUUUCAUCCUCUUUUGCACUGACUCAAGAUCGGAUGACUCCAAAUCCUACUGAGAUGUUUAUCCCUGCAAGUGUUGUCAUGAAAUGUCAUCUAGAACAUAGGGAACAUCAGACUGCUUGGUGAUUCUGCUCAUGGCCCUGGGUAAAUCUUCCAUUCACAAACUUAACAUGAAUGGAUUUGAUCAGCAGUUAUUCCCAAUAACUUAAGGAUCUUUUUGGAAACCUAAGUGAUAGUGGAAUGUGUCCAUGAGGUUGUUCCUAAACAGAGGUAUGAGAAUUUUCAAAGAAGAUUGUCCCAAAACCCAAAUUUUUGGAAAUCAUAAACUCUGCUGCGGAAGUGAAUUGUAACUAUCAAUGCUGUUCAUCUGUUUAAACCAUUUUUUAACAAAUCUUUCACAAAAUGUCACUCUGAAUACAAAUUUGCAUAGUAAUCAAGUUGGUUUGUAAUUUAUUUUGGAAUACCUGUCAUGUGUAUAUUAUAAUUAGUAAGAAACUUUUAAAAUUGUGUUUGAACUGCCACUUCUAUUUAAUGAAUUUACUCUGAAUUGGAAUUCAGCAGCUGAAAAUGCUUAGAAGCUUUAUCACAUAUAUUAAUGGCAUGAAUGGGUUGUUAGUCAUCCUGAAAGAAAUUCAGAAGGAUACAAAUAUAGUUCUUAAAGCAACUGCAAUUUUUAAAAUAUUGUAUCUAAAAUACUUUCUAAUUUUUUUGCUAAAGUCAAUGGUGUAUAUAACUUAUGAAGACGUGGCUGUGUUUCAAUGAACACUGCUUUAUUAGUUUAAAUUUUAUGCUCUAUACUGAUACCUCCAUUCUAGUCAGUUAUUUACAUGAAAUACCACUUUUUUCCUCUGUAUUUUAAACUUAUAGUUACCAAGGUAAAGAAAAACUGAAAAAUUGGAUUGGAAGAUAUUCCAGUGCUUAAAGUGCAUUGAGGGAACAUUUAUAUGUUACCAUGAAUCAAGGCCAAACAUCUCAAAUUUCAACAUAAUCAAACCUCAAAGUUCUGAAACAGGAAGUUCCAUUAUGAUAAACUUUUACGUGAAAUUUUGGUUGUAACUUGCUGGAUAGUAUUUUGUGACAGUCGCAAGUCAUGAGUUGAAUAUGGCUCAGUAUGGUUUUGUAGAAGAGUGUUGGUUGUAUAUGGAGUAAUAUGCUUUUCCUUACAUUGAUAGGAGUAGAUGGAGUAACACAAGUAGAAGAUGAUCUCUCUGUCUCUGUACUUGCAUACCCAGGUCCACUUCAAAGCAAAGUGCAUGCAAGAAAUGCUGAAGAGCAUUGUGAAGAGACUUGUGGAUGGGAAAGGGGCAGGUUGUUGGAGAAAAGGCAGAAAUUUGACGGUAAAGCUAACCACAGAAUUGGUUUAGUAGAAUUCAUAAAGAUUUGUGGCAAUGGAAACUUAUCAAUGUAAUGAACACUGUAAUGCAACCCAAUGAGAAAUGAACAACAUAUAUAGUCCUUAAAAUGGGUGGAUGGUACUUAAUGUAGUGUUGACUGAUUGGUACUUAAUAUAGUAUUUGCCCUAAGGUAACUAAAUUUUUGCCUUGAGACUAAUCAUCUAUAUAAGUCGAAAAGCUUCCAAUACAGCUGUUAGUGGGGCAACAAGAAAGCUUCUUUUGCAAAUUCUUCAAGUACAAAUUGACAACUGGAUGGAGGAUCAGGGUUGCAUGAAUUGAAAAUUAUUCCAAAUAUCACUGGGAUACAAGAUUAGUUAGCUAUUCUAACUAGUCUGUUGAAAUGGAGGCUUUUUGUGCAAAAGGAUCUUCAUUUCAGAAGGUCAUUUCUGAAACUGGAAGAGAAUGACAAAUGGCGAUCCUUCUCAAGAUCUUCAUAAUUUUCAUCAAAAAUAGUAAGUGAUGCUGGAAAAUAGCUUAUAACUAAGAAUUUAUUUGGAAGCACAGUUAAUUAUUCAAUUUGCUUAAAGCAUUGCUUUUAAGAUUACGUUUUUUUUAUUGAGUUCAUCUUUUACUGACGGGCUGUAUUGGGGGGGGAAAAUAUUUUUUAACCACUCAUCAUCAUCAUCAUCAUCAUCAUCAGGUGCCAUGCCAAGUUUGAGCUUUGACUACCAUGUCCCACAUACUCCUGUUUCGGGUCAAGUGGAUCAAUUCAUUGGUAUUCAUUGCCAGUUCUCUGGCUGCUGUCUCCAUCAUCAUUUAUCUUUGCCUUCCACUUGCUUUGUUCCCUUCGAUCUUUCCCAUAAUUACCGUGCAUCCUAACUCCUCUUUCCUAAUCACAUGUCCAAUGAAGUUACGUUGCCUUUUCAUGAUCUCAUACAUUACUUCUCUUUUUGUGCUUGCUCUGUUCAUGACAUCCUCGUUAGAUGCUCAUUUCGUCCAUGAUAUUCUUUGCAUCCUCCUCAAAAACCACAUCCCCAUUGCUUUUUACCAUUAGGUAUAUUUUUCAGCUAAUUAAUGUAUACCUUUGUAAAUAUUUGCCUCCAGUUUGAAAUCUGGCACACACUAAGGCAAACGGUUGUUGACACCAACUAGUUUGUUGAAGUGUGUGCCAGAUUUCUACCGCCCAUAAUAUCUGGCAUUGUUCCUCAAUCAAAAGUUCAUCUGAAAAGGACUAGCUUUAUUAUUUAGAUGAUGACCCCUCAUUUUAGACAGCUCGAGCAGCCAAAAUAAUAAUUUUCUCCUUUGAUCAGUUCCCUUAAUAUUUUGGAAGAUCAUUUCAAAAAAUAACUCGUUCUUAAAAUUUAGGAGCUACCUCUUAUGUAUAUAAUAAUCUAAAAUUUUAUCUCUUAGUUUCCAUGUGUCAUCAGUGUUAAUCAAUGAAAAGAGAAGUGAAAAAAAUCAAUGGCUCUAAAUUUCUAUUAACUUUCAAUUAUAUAACCAUAAUCAUUCCUUCACAACUUUAUUUCCAUGUGACACACAAAAUGCUGGAGGAACUCAGCAGGCCAGGCAGAAUCUAUGGAAGAAAGUACAUUCGACGUUUCGGGCUGAAACCCUUCAGUA
RNA transcript from Mobula hypostoma (lesser devil ray), 3557 nucleotides. It is a transcript of the gene named heat shock protein nuclear import factor hikeshi, with no coding region annotated. Lineage: Eukaryota; Metazoa; Chordata; Chondrichthyes; Myliobatiformes; Myliobatidae. The record is from RefSeq and is a predicted model, not a curated record. The transcript is spliced from 6 exons.